Molecule: long non-coding RNA, 638 nt
Filed under: Ananas comosus (pineapple)
Lineage: Eukaryota; Viridiplantae; Streptophyta; Magnoliopsida; Poales; Bromeliaceae
Description: long non-coding RNA (ACOM_LNC043103)
Source: RNAcentral
AACCUCGAUGGUAACAAGAUAAAUGAGAAUAUGAAAACUAUGAACCUCAUGUUAAAUCCCUAAGAAUUGGGUAUAAAUCGACAACUCCGAUUGAGUAGAAAUCUGGACGGUAACAAAGUAAAUGAAAAUGUGCAAAUGAUAAUCCUAGGCGUGGAUAACUAGGAUAAAGAAUAGAUCGAGUGGCAUGAACCUAGUGUUAUUAAACAUAGGUUGGACAGGAAAUGGACCUAGUGUUAGUAAACAUAGGGUGGACGGGAAAAGAACCUAGUGUUAUUGAACCUAGGUCGGACAUUAACCUAGUGUCAUUGGACAUAGGUCAAGUAAGUAAACUUAGAGUUGAGAUCUAGGAGAAAGAAUAUAAAACCUAGUGUAAAUGAACCUAGGUUAUGAUGUAAAGAAACACUCAGUAAAAGUAAACUAAGUUAUGAAUUAUAGUGGGAAUAGGACCACUAGAAAGUGAAUGGUAUAGACCUAGAAAGGUCGUCGACGUAGGGUAAAAGAGUAAACCCUUAAGUUGUGAAAGUGGGUUCCGGAAUCCCUAGGAAUGGUGUGAUGGCAAGAAUAGAAUCAUAACUACGGGAUCGACGGUUCUCCUCUCCCGGUAGUGAUUCAACGGGAUCGACGGUUCUCCUCUCCCU